UACGGGGGGAGCAAGCGUUGUUCGGAUUUACUGGGCGUAAAGGGCGGGUAGGCGGCCACUGCAAGUCGGUUGUGAAAUCUCCGGGCUUAACCCGGAAAGGUCAACCGAUACUGCAGGGCUAGAGUGCAGAAGGGGCAACUGGAAUUCUCGGUGUAGCGGUGAAAUGCGUAGAUAUCGAGAGGAACACCUGCGGCGAAGGCGGGUUGCUGGGCUGACACUGACGCUGAGACGCGAAAGCGUGGGGAGCGAACAGG
Molecule: ribosomal RNA, 254 nt
Filed under: uncultured bacterium
Lineage: Bacteria
Description: partial 16S ribosomal RNA
Rfam family: Bacterial small subunit ribosomal RNA
Source: RNAcentral